RNAcentral lists this ribosomal RNA (122 nucleotides) under Haemophilus haemolyticus. Its description in RNAcentral is "partial 23S ribosomal RNA". It matches the Rfam family "Bacterial large subunit ribosomal RNA", at positions 1 to 115 of the family's 2925-position model. Lineage: Bacteria; Pseudomonadati; Pseudomonadota; Gammaproteobacteria; Pasteurellales; Pasteurellaceae. The record is from RNAcentral.
GUUGUAUAGUUAAGUGACUAAGCGUACAAGGUGGAUGCCUUGGCAAUCAGAGGCGAAGAAGGACGUGCUAAUCUGCGAAAAGCUUGGAUGAGUCGAUAAGAGGCGUUUAAUCCAAGAUAUCC